Molecule: non-coding RNA, 249 nt
Organism: Vicia faba (fava bean)
Lineage: Eukaryota; Viridiplantae; Streptophyta; Magnoliopsida; Fabales; Fabaceae
Source: the annotation of a GenBank genome assembly
AUGGGGGGCGAGCAGAUGGAACUGUCGACCGCGACCCAUACGUGUUAUCUCGCCCAUGCAAACGAGAUAAUAACGGUCGCAGGCAGGAUACCAUCCAUAUACAUGUUUGCCCACAAAAUGGAAAUCGCUCGAGGUGAACAUCGUUGUCCCAAGCAUAUGAGCACAAUUACAUCUUUUUCCAAACACUGUCUACUCCCUUUCAAUACCAAAACCUCUUUACCUUCAAUAGGCCUUGGUGUUGAGAAUUAG